RNAcentral lists this ribosomal RNA (497 nucleotides) under uncultured bacterium. RNAcentral's name for it is "partial 16S ribosomal RNA". It matches the Rfam family "Bacterial small subunit ribosomal RNA", at positions 35 to 507 of the family's 1533-position model. The record is from RNAcentral.
GGGGGGGGGGGGGGGGGGGGGGGGGGGGGGGGGGGGGGGCGGGCGGGCGGGGGGCGGGGGGCUCGGGCGGUAGGGGCGGGCGGGUGAGUAACACGUGGAUAGCCUACCUGUAAGGCGGGGAUGACUGCGGGGGGCCGGAGCUACUACCGGCUAGUAUAUUGAAGCGCACGGGUCAAUGGUGGCAGACGGUGGUGCUGGCCCGUAGAGGUGGGUCCGCUCCGCAUGGGCUCGUGUGCACGGUAACGGCUUACCAAGGCGACGAUGCGUAGCCGACCUGAGAGCGUGGUCGCACACACUGGAACUGCGAAACGUUCCAGACUCCUAAGGGAGGCAGCAGUAGGGAAUCUUCCGCAAUGGGCGAAAGCCUGACGGAGCAACGCCGCGUGAGUGAUGAAGGUCUUCGGAUCGUAAAACUCUGUUAUUAGGGAAGAACAAAUGUGUAAGUACCUAUGCACGUCUUGACGGUACCUAAUCAGAAAGCCACGGCUAACUACGUG